This 133-nucleotide small RNA is filed under the name Candidatus Regiella insecticola 5.15. RNAcentral's name for it is "Candidatus Regiella insecticola R5.15 t44 RNA". It matches the Rfam family "t44 RNA". Rfam says of the family: This family consists of a number of bacterial RNA genes of between 135 and 170 bases in length. Lineage: Bacteria; Pseudomonadati; Pseudomonadota; Gammaproteobacteria; Enterobacterales; Enterobacteriaceae. The record is from Rfam by way of RNAcentral.
CGCCUAAUGUGUCAAGAACACACACAAAUCGUCACAUACACCGGGGUGCUCAGGAAUUUAUCACUUAGGUUUAAUAAAAAAUAGGUGGAAGGUAUUUACUGGGUCGGUGUUAUGGGAUUUGUGGAGGCAUAAC